AGGUUUCAAAAUCUCCCAUUUGUGAAUUGUGACUUGUGAGCCUAUAAUAUUCAAAUUUCAAACAACACUCUUCGUCCCGUACAAAUCUCCUUUCCGACUAGUAAUUUUGACUUGUAACAUCAGAAAAUUUUCAAGAGAUAAAUCUAUUAUAACCUAUAGAAAACUUUUUA
Molecule: small RNA, 170 nt
Filed under: Arabidopsis thaliana (thale cress)
Lineage: Eukaryota; Viridiplantae; Streptophyta; Magnoliopsida; Brassicales; Brassicaceae
Description: ATSL296160
Source: RNAcentral